GAUGAACGCUGGCGAGAUGCCUUACACAUGCAAGUCAUACGGGAAUUUUGAAUUCAAGUGGCGGACGGGUGAGUAACACGUAAGAAUUUACCUUUAGGAGGGGGAUAACAACUGGAAACGGUUGCUAAUACCCCAUAGGCUUUCGAGUGAAAUGGAUUUUUCCGCCUAGAGAGAAGCUUGCGGCUGAUUAGCUUGUUGGUGAGGUAAUGGCUUACCAAGGCGACGAUCAGUAUCUGGUUUGAGAGGACGAUCAGACACACUGGAACUGAGACACGGUCCAGACUCCUACGGGAGGCAGCAGUGGGGAAUUUUCCGCAAUGGGCGAAAGCCUGACGGAGCAAUCUCGCGUGAGGGAUGACGGCCUAUGGGUUGUAAACCUCUUUUUUCAGGGAGGAACAAAAUGACGUGUACCUGAAGAAUAAGCAUCGGCUAACUCCGUGCCAGCAGCCGCGGUAAGACGGAGGAUGCAAGUGUUAUCCGGAAUCACUGGGCGUAAAGCGUCUGUAGGUGGUUUACUAAGUCAACUGUUAAAUCUUGAAGCUCAACUUCAAAAUCGCAGUCGAAACUAGUAGACUAGAGUAUAGUAGGGGUAAAGGGAAUUUCCAGUGGAGCGGUGAAAUGCGUAGAGAUUGGAAAGAACACCGAUGGCGAAGGCACUUUACUGGGCUAUUACUGACACUCAGAGACGAAAGCUAGGGUAGCAAAUGGGAUUAGAUACCCCAGUAGUCCUAGCCGUAAACAAUGGAUACUAGAUGUUGAACAGAUCGACCUGUGCAGUAUUAAAGCUAACGCGUUAAGUAUCCCGCCUGGGAAGUAUGCUCGCAAGAGUG
This 830-nucleotide ribosomal RNA is filed under the name uncultured bacterium. RNAcentral's name for it is "bacterial SSU rRNA". It matches the Rfam family "Bacterial small subunit ribosomal RNA", at positions 28 to 896 of the family's 1533-position model. The record is from RNAcentral.